RNAcentral lists this ribosomal RNA (253 nucleotides) under uncultured bacterium. RNAcentral describes it as "partial 16S ribosomal RNA". It matches the Rfam family "Bacterial small subunit ribosomal RNA", at positions 524 to 776 of the family's 1533-position model. The record is from RNAcentral.
UACGGAGGGGGCUAGCGUUAUUCGGAAUUACUGGGCGUAAAGCGUACGUAGGCGGACCGGAAAGUCAGAGGUGAAAUCCCAGGGCUCAACCUUGGAACUGCCUUUGAAACUGCUGGGCUUGAGGUCGUCAGAGGUGAGUGGAAUUCCGAGUGUAGAGGUGAAAUUCGUAGAUAUUCGGAGGAACACCAGUGGCGAAGGCGGCUCACUGGCUCGAUACUGACGCUGAGGCGCGAAAGCGUGGGGAGCAAACAGG